CACAGAUGCCAGAGUAAAUACAGACUGUGACAUUACAGUAACUGGACAAGAACAUCUGUGCAAGGAUGAAGACUUUACAUGCAAUGCUGCUGAUGCUGUUUGUUGCAUCAGUCUUUUCAAAACCACCUUACCCGCGCAGAAGAUCUGAUUCAUCAGACUCGGAGGGUUCGGAUGAAAAUGAUUCACGCAGAGCAUACAGAGAGGAUUCACAGUCGGUUGAGAAUUCUGACGAGUCUAAUGAAUCUUCUGAGGAAGACAUCAGAGUUGUGACAACUCGCAAAACAAGUCCACCGACCACUAGCAAGACAACAAUCAGCGGGCCAUAAGACAUCACAAGCUGUGUUACUGUGGAUCUGACAACUGAAAUAAUGGGCAAUAAUAAUAUAAUAUCUUAUUAUAACAUCUUACAAUGCUACUGCUUAAUCAUCUUUUCAUGCAAAAAAAAAACAAACAAACAAAAAAUGUCAUAUUGGUUUACAAAAGAAAGUAAUGUUUAUGUGCUGAUAAUGAAGGUCUUGAAACUGAUUGAUGUAACUUUUAAAAUUAAUUACUUUUAAAUUGCAU
Long non-coding RNA from Sinocyclocheilus anshuiensis, 564 nucleotides. RefSeq lists it as uncharacterized. NCBI's taxonomy places the organism in Eukaryota, Metazoa, Chordata, Actinopteri, Cypriniformes, Cyprinidae. The transcript is spliced from 3 exons. The record is from RefSeq and is a predicted model, not a curated record.